This 216-nucleotide ribosomal RNA is filed under the name Glomeromycotina sp. Its description in RNAcentral is "partial small subunit ribosomal RNA". The stretch from base 40 to 216 matches the Rfam family "Eukaryotic small subunit ribosomal RNA", at positions 686 to 864 of the family's 1831-position model. Lineage: Eukaryota; Fungi; Glomeromycota. The record is from RNAcentral.
GGGUAAGUAGGUUGGUCGUGCCACCGGUACGUACUGGUCUCAAUGAUUCCUCCUUCCUGAAGAACCGUAAUGCCAUUAAUUUGGUGUUGCGGGGAAACAGGACUGUUACUUUGAAAAAAUUAUAGUGUUUAAAGCAAGCUAACGAUUGAAUACAUUAGCAUGGAAUAAUGAAAUAGGACGAUCGAUCCUAUUUUGUUGGUUUCUAGGAUUGACGUA